AGCAGCCGCGGUAAUUCCAGCUCCAAUAGCGUAUAUUAAAGUUGUUGCAGUCAAAAAGCUCGUAGUUGAAUUUCGGGAUCAAUAUGUCGGUCGUGCCAUUGGUACGUACUGGUAUCAUUGAUUUCUCCCUUCUGACGAACCAUGAUGUCAUUAAUUUGGUGUUAUGGGGAGUUAGGACUGUUACUUUGAAAAAAUUAGAGUGUUUAAAGCAGGCAUUAGCUUGAAUACAUUAGCAUGGAAUAAUGAAAUAGGACGUUUGACCCUAUUUUGUUGGUUUCUAGGAUCGACGUAAUGAUUAAUAGGGAUAGUUGGGGGCAUUAGUAUUCAAUUGUCAGAGGUGAAAUUCUUGGAUUUAUUGAAGACUAACUACUGCGAAAGCAUUUGCCAAGGAUGUUUUCAUUAAUCAAGAACGAAAGUUAGGGGAUCGAAGACGAUCAGAUACCGUCGUAGUCUUAACCAUAAACUAUGCCGACUAGGGAUCGGAUGAUGUUAAUUUUUUAAUGACUCA
RNAcentral lists this ribosomal RNA (508 nucleotides) under uncultured Glomeromycotina. Its description in RNAcentral is "SSU rRNA". It matches the Rfam family "Eukaryotic small subunit ribosomal RNA", at positions 569 to 1078 of the family's 1831-position model. Lineage: Eukaryota; Fungi; Glomeromycota. The record is from RNAcentral.